CAAUGUAUGCUUUGGAAACUGUUAGACUUGAGUGCAGAAGGGGAGAGUGGANUUCCAUGUGUAGCGGUGAAAUGCGUAGAUAUAUGGAGGAACACCGGUGGCGAAAGCGGCUCUCUGGUCUGUCACUGACGCUGAGGCUCGAAAGCGUGGGUAGCGAACAGGAUUAGAUACCCUGGUAGUCCACGCCGUAAACGCUGAGUGCUAGGUGUUAGGUCCUUUCCGGGACUUAGUGCCGACGCUAACGCAUUAAGCACUCCGCCUGGGGAGUACGACCGCAAGGUUGAAACUCAAAGGAAUUGACGGGGGCCCGCACAAGCGGUGGAGCAUGUGGUUUAAUUCGAAGCAACGCGAAGAACCUUACCAGGUCUUGACAUCCCGAUGCCCGCUCUAGAGAUAGAGUUUUUCUUCGGAACAUCGGAGACAGGUGGUGCAUGGUUGUCGUCAGCUCGUGUCGUGAGAUGUUGGGUUAAGUCCCGCAACGAGCGCAACCCUUAUUGUUAGUUGCCAUCAUUAAGUUGGGCACUCUAGCGAGACUGCCGGUAAUAAACCGGAGGAAGGUGGGGAUGACGUCAAAUCAUCAUGCCCCUUAUGACCUGGGCUACACACGUGCUACAAUGGUUGGUACAACGAGUCGCAAGCCGGUGACGGCAAGCUAAU
Molecule: ribosomal RNA, 657 nt
Filed under: uncultured bacterium
Lineage: Bacteria
Description: bacterial SSU rRNA
Rfam family: Bacterial small subunit ribosomal RNA
Source: RNAcentral